AAGUUGAGGAGUAUUUCACCAAUUACAUCUUAAAUGACAGCUUGGGAAUCAUUUCUAAUGCUCACACCGUCUUUGCUGAUAGGGAACCUGCAAAAGCAAUGAGUAAACCAUGUCUGGAACUUGCAAGUAAAUUUUCAAUUGCAGUUGAUUUUCCAAAAACUGGAGUACCAGCUGAAAUUCAUUCUCAUCUACGUGUCAAAGAAUAUCCUGAUUUCAUGGAAAAGCCUGACAAACCCACCUAUGAAUCUCAGAAUGUGAUUGGAAAGCUUUUCCGAGCAGUGAGAGACAUUGCACCACAUACAAGCUCUAUUAAGUCCUUUACUUUGGAAGUGGCAAGGCAGUGUUAUGACCCUGAUAUGGAAGUUGAUGGUUUUGAGGAUUAUAUAGAUGAUGCCUUCUAUUACAAAACGAAUUAUGAUUACAAAUUGGGUAAUCAUAUGGACUAUUAUGGCAUCAGAACUGAGGCUGAAAUUCUCGGUGGAAGUAUUAUGAAAAUGUCAAAAGCUUUCACCAAGAAAAGGGACGCAGAAGCAAUUGGUUUGGCGGUGAGGUCCUUAAGAAAAGAAGCAAGAUCUUGGUUUAAAGAAAGGGGAAGUGGAUUAGAUUCUGAAGAAGAUGAUGUUUAUGCAAAAGCCUCCGCUUGGUACUAUGUUACUUAUCAUCCUAGUUAUUGGGGUUGCUACAACGAGGGAAUGAAUCGAGAUCAUUUUCUUAGCUUUCCUUGGUGUGUUUAUGACAAGCUGAUCCAGAUCAAGAGGAAGAGAAGGUGUCAAAAUUUAUCAUUGCUUGAACGCCAGUUUGGGCUUGGACUGCAUUUUCAUUAACAAAUGUGAAAUUUUGAACAUGUCUAUAUGUUCAUAGUCUUGGUUUGAGUUUGCCAGCUAAUCCAGAUCAGCGGAACAAAUCAAGGAUCAACCAGGUUCCUACUUUUUUCUCUUUACAGAUUUUCCAUGUAGAUGUGGACUGCUUUUGAGUUUAGAAGGUAAUCAAAAUAUAUGGCUAUACAUAUGGUUAUGAAUAUGUAAUAUUUCAAAGACAAUAUAUGAUGUAAAUGUUUAUGUUCAUAUAAUGGCAGAANNNNNNNNNNNNNNNNNNNNNNNNNNNNNNNNNNNNNNNNNNNNNNNNNNUUUUAUUUGCCUGAUUGUUGAUGCAUUAUCCAUAUUUAGGUGUUAUAUAGCCGUUUUGAGAUACAUGCUAUUCUAGUCGUGCAUGAUCGGUGUUUGUUUUUUUGCUGCAAAUAAUGGGUACUGAUAAUUUGAAUGUUUAACAACAUUUAUUAGUCAGUUUUUCUGGUAUGUAUAACAAAAGCUGCACUGCUAAUUGCUGAUAUGAUAGCUUUUGAUUAUGGCGAUUUUGGUUUCAGAAUAACAGUUAAUUGAGAUCCUUUUCCAUUGCUUGAAAAUGACAAGGGCAUAGCUUCAUGCAUUCUCUUGAGGAACCGUUCAAACAAUUCAUUAACAAUCUCAGCUCCAAAGUGUUUGGUAAUGACUGGUUCUAACCCAGAUUUGAAAUGCAUCAUGAUUGUAUAUUCAGUUGGUUGAUUAUCAGGGCUGCAUUCGCAAUCUGUAGGCUCCAUUCUUUCAAUGCUAAAACACCCACUUUGUUCUAUAAACUGUGUAAGCUCCUUGGGCGUUACACAGUACAAUGGAAUGUUGAAAGAGUCCACAAGUGCUUCACAUAUUAAUCCCUGCAAUCAGGAUUUUGAUUUGGUUAUUUACAUGUUUUAAAUUUUCAUGGGGUUUCACUGUUAUCGUUAAUAUUUAACUUUUCAAACUGUUAUCGUUAAUAUUUAACUAUUGACCAACUAUCAUUAAAAGCUGAUUUUCCAUUGCUGAAUCAAGCAGACCCCUAAAUCUAUAAUUUCAUAUAAUCCACUAGUCUAGUAUGUUUCUAUAUUGUUACCUCUUUUGCCUUGUCCAUGAGGCACGACCCUAAAUGAUUCAGCAAUAUCCCGAUUGGUACAUUCGACGGAGAGACCCCAUCAGGAAUAGAAGGAAUGAUUAUCACCAUCAUGCUUCCCUCUGCAAGUUCUUUUGCUCUGGCAUUCAAGAACAUUCCCAUAUCCUUGCUAAAUUGGGCAGCAAAGGCUUUCACUACUGCUUCUGAUGCACCUGUAUAGUGAACUCUCCCUCCGUUCCAUGCAGGAGAGUCCAUGUCGAACACCUCUUCAGGAACACCAGAAAGCCAAUGUAAUGUGUAGGAGGAAUGCACAAAAUGGAGAGACGAGUCAGGAAACAACUGGGUAUGAUAUGACCUUGGUACCCCUGCUGUAAAAUAUUUCCUGAGGUGGGAGAGACUUGAAAAGGGUAUUAAAGUCGUUAAAUGGAAGAUCAUUAAAGAAAACUUGAAACUGAGGUAUUUGAUCGUAAGUGAAGCCUUCAUUUAUGAACUUUCGCUCCACAGCUUCAAGUAUACUAUGAACAUAGUAAAAGGUGUUUGGUCCUGUUGAACAUCCCAUAUCAGCUAUACAAAAUGCCUUGCUACAUGAAGUUGAUAAAAAUGACUUCGUUUCAAGCUUCUCAUGGAUUGUCUCAUCAAUUAUUCCCUUCAUGAAUUCCAGAAUCCAUUUCUGCAAAAACGAAUUUAAACUUAAUCUUAAAAUACAGAAGUUUCUGCUAUCUUCUUUAAAUAUUUUUCAACAAAAAGAGAACACUACAACUACUUAGUGAUUUAGAAAGUAAAAUACCUGAUGGUGACUGAGGGAGCCCUUGGCAGCAGGCAUCUCGACGCCUAUCUUCAACUCUUCUUCUCUCUCACCUCCAUUUUUGCAUAUUUCAAAGAUUUAUAUUUAUAUGUAUAUGGAAUUAGCCGUCCUCGUAACAUAGAUUCUUUAUGUCCAAAAGAAUGACAUUUUCAAGUAACUCUUGCUCUAUGUCUUGUAGUCAUCAUCAGGCAUAAAGAAUAAGUUUCAGACAACAUCGAAAAUAAAAUUCAUUUUUUAAUUUGCAACAAUAUAUAUAUAUACUGAUACCAACAAAAUACAACAAAAUAAGCGUGUUUUAUGACUAAAGUCUAUGACUAUAGACUAUAGACUUUAAUUAAUGAACAAAAGACUUUAGACUUAUAAAAGACUUUUAAAAUAAAAGACUAAAGACUUUGAAAAUAAAAUGAUAAAGACUUGAAAACUUUAAAAACAAAGACUUACUUAUGCUUUUUAUUGUUUAUCGUAUAUAGACUUAUGUUUUCCAACAAAAACUUAAAGUUGAUAAAGACUUAUGCUUUUUAAUUUUUAUUGUAUAAAGACUUUAAAACUUGAUUUUAAACAAAGUCAUAUAUAUGUAGAGCGCUAAGAUUAUUACUAGGAUUUAAAUAAAUACAGAUACAAACAUUUAAAGAUAAAUCAUAACUGUGAACUAAAAUACUAUGAUUAAUUGGGUUUAUAUGAAUACUUAUAUAAUUCAUUAAAUAUAAUUUUACUUCAGAGUCAACACAAUAUUUCUGAUGUGGAAGAUCAGACUAAGCUGCAUCCACAGAGCAUACUUAUAACAAAUUUUAAUCAACAAUUUUAGCACAAAGGUUUAGGGUUCCUGCAACCUUAACCUAGGAUCCCCAGAAUUAAGUCAGAGUGUGGAGGGAGAAGAGAAAGGUGCCGUAAACACGGACUUAUAUUCGUAGCAGUUUAAAAUAAAAUACAAACUUUAUUUAAUUACAAAAUAUAAAUACAAGAUUUAAAACUUACAANNNNNNNNNNNNNNNNNAUAUAUAUAUAUAUAUAUAUAUUGUGAUGCAUUUAUGGUGAAAAAUAAUAACUGGGAAGAGGUAAACUUAGAACCAACUGAAGGGAAGUUAUCUCAAAAGAUCUACUAUUCUUCGAUGUCAGUACAGAUUUAGCUAUGAACAGGUCAGAAUGAAAACAAAAGAUUCGUAUAGUUUGAGAUUAAAGUUUAGUCGUAGCUAUAAUAAAAAUAUUUAUAUAUACAAUUGAAUUUAUAUUUAUUUUUCUUCUCUAACAGCAUAAUUAAGUGUGUAGAAGAUUUUCACAGGUACAGGUAUUAUUUUACUUGGAACGUAUAGUUUUAACUGGCAGCACUAGUUCGACUGGUUAAUUAUGCUAGUUUGUACUUAUUGGGAACUUGUUUACUAAUUGCUAUGCCAUUGACAAUUUCUGAUGCCACUCAAUAUGUUCUUUUAUGUUCAUAUAGGGGACGACCAAACUCUUGCUUUUUCGGGAUCUACAAUUACAAUGCCGUUUUGAUUUGUAAAAAGUCUUGCAUGUCUGUAUUUUCCUAGUCAGGGAAUUAAAAUUUCGACUUGGAGGCUUCACUUUGAUUACUAGCAAUAAUUUGAUAUGACGGCGGCGAAGUCUAGUUAUAGCUUUCCCAAAUAGUAGAGACUGAGGUGGAGUAAAUGGGUCCUUGUUGAUUGGCAUUGUGAAGGAAAAUGAGAAGGAACAAUCUACACAAACCAAGUUUUUUGUUAGAUCUUUGUCUUUUGAUAAAUAUUUUUUCUUGGAAUGAUUUCAAGCUUCCAACCUUCACAGUUCCCAAGAAGGCAGGACCGUCUUCUCGCACUGGAUCGAGUAAAAUUGGGCUAAUUUGUGUGGUGGGAGGAGGAAGACCAUGAAGAAAGGGUUAGAGAAAGACUUUUUAGUAUAAUCACGAGGGCAUCAUUUGUUAUUUUAAAAUAAUUUUCUCUCUUAUUUUUUCUUUUCAUCUUUUAACGGAAAACACAUAUUUUUGAAGGGAAGGAUCGAGACGGAAUCAAAUCAUGACGACUCAAUAUUUAAUAUACAACGAUAGGAGAUAGGAGAACAGGAUAAUUAAUUUUGUAAAACCUCAAAUUAUAAUAAUUAUUUUCAAAAAAAAAAAAAAACAGCACCUGAAAAGACGAGAUUGCAUAGCUGUAAUCGCCAUCUCCUCCAUUCAUUACACAUGCAUGAUUCCGCCAUUAACAUUUCCGAAAAAGCUUUAAAUAACUCAAUUCUCUCAAUAAUGAAGCAACUGUUUCUUUUUACAAGUUCUUGCACCUCCUUAGCAGAUGGAAUAUAAAAGGGGAGAUUGAACGAGUCCACUUGCACUUCUCUCACCAAUCCCUGUGCAUGUUUAAACAAAAAUGGAUUAAUUACAAUGGAGAAUUUCUUUAUGGGCGAGCUAUAACUUGGAAGGUCAUGAAUUUGAAUUGAAACAUUCAAAAAUAAGGGUAAGAGGCAAACAAUGGAGAACCUCCCAAAACCAUAUAAUAAGAUGCACAAAGAUAUCAAAUUUUACAAUAAGAUUACAGUAUGAUGAAGUAUAAUUGUAAUAACUGAUAUAAUUAAAUGUAUUUUUAGUAUAAUCACGAGUUCUGAAACUGACCUCUCUAGCCAUGUCCAUGAGGCUAGAUCCCAGAAUAUCAAACGACACGUUAAAUAUUCACAAGAAUGAGAAAUCCCAUCAUGGAUAGUUGGCACCACGAUUAAUAUAAUCCCACCAACCACAAGCUCUUUGGCUCUUGCAUCCAAAAAUAUCUCCAUAUCCUUUUCGAACUGGGUGGCGUAUGCUUUGCAUACUUCAUCUGAGGCACUAGUGUAGAAAAUUCUGCCCUUGUUCCAAACAGGAGAGUGGUUAUUUAGAAUCUCUUCUGGCAUCUGAGUUAGCCAAUGCAAUGAAGCGGAAGUGUGCAUUAGAUGAAGAGAGGACCUGGGGAAUAACCACCCAUGGAAUGACCCUGGCACGCCAGCAGCAAAGUAUCCCCUGUUUGGAUGUAGAGAUCUAAAUAGAGUAUUGAAAUCAUUCAAGACAUGAUCAUUGAGGAACACUUGAAAUUCAGGAAUUGGGGAAGCCAGACCUUGAGAAUGACACUUAUAUUUCACUGCUUCAAUAAUAUUUUCCAUACAAAUAAAGGUAUUUGGCCCAACUGAACAUCCUAAAUCCGCAAUGAACUUGAAGGACCAAAAAUGAGAUCGUUUAUGUUCAGAUUACGAGCAAUUGCCUCAUCAAUCAAACUUCCAGCAUUAUCAAUGACUUCCCUCUGCAAAUAAAGAUCAAAUAAUGCGAAAAAAAAAUUACAUAUAUUUCCUUUUACCAUUUUCUCUAACAUACAAAAUGAGUACCUGAAAUGAGGAAUUGUUAGAGUAGCUGUUGUCGUCAUCUCCUCCUUUCAUUGGAUAUAAUUCCACCAUUGACAUUGUGGCUGUGCUUUGGCUCGUUGUCUCUGUAUAAGCUAUGGGAUGGUUGUGGUGAGAAUUUUCGCAUCUUUUUUUACAUAUAUUAUUAUCAAAAAACUGUGUUAAAAAAUUAUUGUAAAAAGGGUUGUAGCCAUAAAGAGUAGGGUUCUGAUUCAAACUGAAUCAAAUCAAGGCAAAGAAUACUAACCGAAGUUUUUGGACAAUAGAUCAAAUCAAACUGAAAUUGGUAUCUGUACCAAAUCAAAUCAGUUGGUUCGGCCGGAUUUAGUUUGUUGCCAUAUCGAUUCAAUUUUAAGUUAAUUGAUGAAUUUCUAUAAAACUGACUUGAACUAAGUAAUAAAUUCGGUUUCAACAAAAUAAAUCGACAAAUUCGAUUCAAACCAAUCACUGAUCGAACAAAAUCAGAAUGUGUAGAUUUAGUUUAAGAUUCGAUUCGGUCGGUAAUAAAGAGUGGAAUUUUAAAACUUUUAAAAGAUAAACUAUUUUAUUUGUCAUAUAAAUCAAAGUGAUUUUGCGUUAAAAGUAAUGGCUUUCACUUUUAACGCAAAAUCACUUUGAUUUAUAUGAAAAAUAAAAUAAUUUAUCUUUUCAAAGUUUUAAAAUGUCUAUUUAUAAAAUAAUUAAAACUAAUCAAUUUAAUAUUUCUAAAAAAAAAUCAAUUUAUUUGAUAUCGAGCCGAUAUUAGAACCUUGAUAAGUUUAAAGUUUCCAAACCUAUAAUAAGCCUAAGAUGCUGAAAGACAUAACCAACCCAACAUAAUAAUAGCUAGCCUUUUAGCUAAUAAUUUCAUCAUAAAUAUCGGACCAUUCAUGUCCAUAUAAUAACCAAACAUUAACAUUAAUCAAUAUUGCGUUUAUGUCCUUUUAUAAAUUCUUUUGCCUAACUAUUAUUAAUAUUUUUAUAAAUUAAUAUUAGCUUGGCUAACAGACAAUGAUAGCAACAGCAAGAAAACUCAGCUAUCCUGUAAGUGCAUAAUUUCAUAGAAAAAAAAAAAAUACAAACCAUGUGCCGAAUUAGGUAAGCGUAGUGAUUUUCUCCAUUCACAUAAUAGAACACUCAGACAUUUUGCUUAAAGGAUUUGAGCUCUUUCCACUCAGACCAAUUGUUAGUUAAUUUUAUUGGACUUUCAAUGUUAUAAUAGGAUUUUAAUAUUUAUUCAAAUAUAUAAUCUCUCCUAUCUACUCAAUUUUAUUAUCAAUAUCAACUCUUACAAUGUGUUGCUGCUUAUUUAACAUUGAGAAGCAGGUCUUGCCCAUAUCAACAAGAAAACUUUAAAAAGAAAAUAUGCUUGUAAAUUAGAAAUCACAGAGAAUUGAUCACGCACGUUUUAGAGCAAGAAAUACUUGAGAAGUUUCUGCUAAGCUGGCCUGCAACUGGGAAGACAAUUCUUGCGUCUUCUUAAGAAACCGAUCAAACAAUUCAUCUAUAAUCCCACUUCAAAAUUUUGGCUAAUAAUUCAUCUUUUUCAGAUAAAAUAACUAGGACUCAAAGUACCGUGUCUUUCUUGUUCAGCAAUUGCUACAGUAAAAGUACAAAAUCUACUAGUGACAUUCUUGUGUAAGUAGGACUUAAUGGAAAAUGUCAUAGCUCCUAGUUUGUAUGAAAUUCUCCAUACAGUUCAUGCCAAUGCCUACUUUAUAAAGUGGGACAUGAUUUAUCACUGAUGAGAGCAUGGACUCUUAGACUGGAGAAACGAAUAUAAAACAGUCAACAACUUCAAGUUUUAUAAAAGAUGUAUGGAUUGAUUUGAUAUGUUUAUUUGAAAAGUUUAUCUUGAUUCCUAUAUCUUUUUCUUCUUGUCCUCGUUUGUUUUUUUGUGUGUGUGUGUGUGUGUGUGUUUGUCAGGACUUGGUAUUUAUGGUGGAUAAUAUGUGAAUGAGAUAACCAUAUUCUGAUAUUUGCCUUGAUAAAAACUUGUUUGAUGUGUCUUCUUUAUUUUUCUUCAAUUUGAUGUUUUCGUGACCUUAAGUUUAACUCUUAAUUAGAAAAACUUUGUUUAUUGCUAUGCAUGUGGUUCUACCCAUAGCUGUUUAUAUAUAAAUAUAUCUAUUUUUUCCCGAAGUCAUUUUGCCCACAAUUGGAUAUAACUAUAACAUAUUUCCAUAAAGGGCUUUAUAUAUCUCCAUUUUUUUUUUUUGGGCAGUUACAUUUUGCUCCAUCUCUCAAAGUCAAGCAAUUUCUUAAUUUUAAUAAAUUUGUUGUUUGUCCAGGACACAGCAAGGGCCAUUCUGAAGAAUGCUGCUGGCGUGGUGGUUAUUGAUGAUCGGGCAUCCAAUCACUUCCCAACGCCAUUGGAGAUAUCAAACAAAGAUGAUGUUGCAGUCGGUAGAAUCCGCCGUGAUGUUUCUCAAGAGGGGAAUCAUGGGUAAAACUCACUUGCAAGCUAUUUUUUUUUUUUUCCCACUAAAUAAUUAAAUAGCCUUUAUAGACCAUCUUACUAAUGCUGGAAUUCCAAGCAGGUUGGAUAUAUUUGUUUGUGGGGAUCAGAUACGCAAGGGCGCUGCACUUAAUGCCAUUCAGAUUGCUGAGUUGCUGCUAUAGUCCCCUUUAGUUUUAGUUUUAGGUUCCAUAUAAUGCUCUUAUUUAGUGUGAUGAGGCCAGGUGGUUUUGGAUCAUAAGCUAUUUUCUAGUCUUCACUUGCAGAUAUUCAUUGAUAUAAUGAGGUUGAGCAAAUUCGAAAAGUUCCUGUACUAUAAGUUUGUUACGUUGCCCCUUUGAAGUUUCACUUGAUUGUAUUCAUAUGCUCUGUCUUUACAAUGAAGUAAAAUUUUGUUAUAUUGUAUUCAUAUGCCAUAGCUGGACACUGUAUGAGGAUGUAUUGCAGUAGACUCAUUGAAUCUCAAUCUACUGCAAUGGGAUAUUUCUCGCUCGCAUAUUUUAUGUACAAAGAUUCUCUUACCAUUGAGUAAGUCAUAGCCUCCAAUCGGACCAAUCCACUUAACAAGAAAAGAUCACUAGUUGUUCUUUCUCUCUUUCUUUUUUGGAUUUGCAUGUGUGAUUUCAUAUUCGGGUCAGGACUGGUGUUCAGAUGCUCCGUGAAGACUGGUAUUAUAGCGACUCUUGGUAUGCUACCACAUUACUAAGCCUUAAUUUUUCACAGAAAUUGUGAUGAGGAUAUCGGAGAAGCAACUCAAGAAGCAGCGUCCUGUUAAACAUUUCGACAUUUUUCCUGAAGGAUUAUUCUGUGACCGAGGACACAAGCUCACUCCAAAAGUUUAUUCUCUUGUUACAUUUUUUAGGGUCAAGUUUGAACUAUACAUGAAAGCCGAUCCCACCUCUCAUUCACUAGCAAGUUGAGGAAUUGACUCUCCAUGGGAAGCAUAAUUAGUGAGAAUAGUUUUUAUUUUUCAUUUCAUGCAUUAGAAAUUCUUUUAUGGCACCGUUUGGAAAAGUUUAUAUGCAAUAAUUUUUCAACUUAUAAUUGUAUUAGAAGAAUUGAAUUUCAUUCUUAUAAUCUUAUGUAAAAAUUGUUUCACGUACCAUGUAAAGCGGUAAUGAAUUCAAUUUAUUAUUUUAUUUUCUUCAUUAUCUAUGUUUAUUCAAAUAAAUUCAAUAAUAAUCCGAAUGAAGUAGUUCGGUGAUAAAGAAUACUUACGGAGUAAAUCACUAUGAUUUGAGUCAUAGGUUUGAUCCUCCGUCAACGCAAAUUUUUCUGGGCCAAUCCUUUUGCCUCCAAAAGCGAGUAAAAAUUAAUUAGAUUUGUGGGUUGUCAAAAUGGACACGGGCCGAAUACUUCGAGCAAUGCCUCAAUUUGACAAUUAACUUCUGAAAGGGUUUUGGAUUGAUUGACAUAUGUUGUUUAAAUUUGUAACUAUAUUCUACAUUUUUUUUUUUUUGCUUGUCAUGUUUAAACAGGAAUCUAAACACAGACACCUGAGAGAGUAAACUAAUAUUUUUAUUUUUCUUAUUGAUAAAAAACUAAAUAAAUCUAAUUAAUAUUAGUUACAAAUAAUUUCUUUUAAUAAAUUUCGCUUGCUUAAUAAAAAAUCUCAUAAAUAAAAUUUCCUUGUGUUAUUUAAAUUAAAGACAUAAAACGAGUAAACUAGCCAUCCUAUUCCUUCCCUCGUAGGAAUCGGAGAUUGGCCACUUACGCAGUCAAAGCAAAAGCGGUUGAGUUGAGUUGAGAAGGAUGGAUGAUUAAAAACGGCGUUAAGGUUUUAGCUAAGGUCGUCAACACUUGAUAACUUCAUCUUCUACUUCACGAGGAAGUUUAAACUUUCAAAGAAUAAUUAUUUAAGGUAACGACAAAGGUUCUCUCUUGUGGAGAGCAGGAUGAGGUGGCCCCUUCCUUCCUUGCAAUUAGCAAUGAUAGAAAACCUUAUUUUCCUUUGUCCUUUCCAAGUUUCUUCUAUUUCCAUAAAAUACAUAAGGAACGUUUACUCUCUUAUCCAUGUAAAUACUGUAACAUUUACAGUGGUGUUUAGAUUUUAAGAGGAGGAAUAAUGAAAUGUUAUUUUUUUAAAUAUUUAAUAAAACGCCAAUAAAACAAUUCAUGGUUAAAUAUUAUUAAAAUAACGAAAUUUACACCGUCUUUUUUAGAUAACUUUCUAAUAAAUUUUUAUUUAUUUAUUGAAAUACCUUGAUAUUUUAAAAAUUGUUACUUAUUAAAAAAUGUUAUUCAAAAUCUUCUAAAAGAACAUUUUAUUCAAACUAAAAAAAUCACUCAUUUAACACUGUUUACAUUAAUUAACUAGUUAUUUGUUCUAAUAGGAUACAAGUUACCUUGAAUGAUAAUUAACUUAUUUCAACUAAGACAUGAAGCGGAAUGUUAGAAAAUCGUGAGUUAUCUAUUUUGAUAAAAGAAAAUAGUUAUCCUAGUUCUAUUUGAUACCUUUUUUUUUUCCUCAAAUACUUAUUAUAUUUAGAUAUUUCACUUCUCUUAAUUAAGAAAAUCAUUUAAUUUAUAAUAAAUUAUUCAGUGAGUUUAUUAUAUUAUUUUUAAUUUUUUAUUUGAGUUAAAAUCAUUCAACUGAUAUUGAUCAUAAUAAAAUAAAAAAUUUAUUAUUUAUUAAAUCCAUGAAUGUAAUAAGUAUUUAAUAUAUAUAUAUUUUUAAAUUUGACAAGUACUUGCGGUAAUGGUUUUUAGGGUAAAAAUUCAAGAUUUGGAAAUGGAGACAUUUUUUGAAACUUGCAUGUAAGAUUGCAAGUGAUUGGAUAAAUUGGUAUCAGAGACCGCGAUGUAUUCACGCGGAGGAGUGGUCCCAAUAAACGGGACAAUAAUAUGGGCUUUCACUAUAGUGUAUCCGGACUACAAGCAUUAUAUAAACACUAUCCAAUAGUUUUUAUCCACGUCAGCAAAUUCAAGCAGUAGCGUCCGUUACUUACCGCGUUAACGUAUGUCGACGUCAUAAUAAACGUCAACCUAGAAAGAGUGCUGCGAUGGAGGGAAUCAUGGCUUUUUUUUUUCUUCUUGUGUACGAGGGCAACACAGUGUCACAGAGAGACUUACAUUGACUGAUUGGAGAAAAAGCAGAUGAAAAUUUGCUUGCUCAAAGACAGAGAAAGAGCGACUUGAAUGUGAAACUGUUUCUAUCGCUGGUUUCGUUUCUGGUUUCUUGGAUGAGAACUGAAGUGGUUUAAUUUGAGUGAGCGAGUGAUAAUUUGGUUUCUUUAUUUUACUUUUCUGGUAAGGUCUCAAACCUUUAUUUGAUUCUUUGAUUGCUUUCUUUCCAAGUAUAAUUUCCAGAAUGUGGAUACAUCCAUUAAAAAAAGUUUUCAUCCUUAUGCUAAAUUUUACUUUUUUUGGGAGUCUGUUUUCUUUUAAUUUUUAGAUAAAUGAGAUUGCUUUAUUAGCCUCUUUAGUGUAGGUGGCUUUGAUUCUGGAAUACAUAUAUUAUUGAUGUACUCUAUGAGUGUUUUGUGUUAUCAGAUUCGUAGUUGAUUUUUUUUUUUUUUGGCAAUUCUGUGUUUUCUUUUACCAAUAUAUCCAUCUCUCUCUUCUUGUGAAAUUUACUUAGAAAAGGUGAUUCGGUUAUUUUAUUUAUAUCGGCUUGCAAUAGCUGGCAUAUAAUUGGGGCAUUGUGGCUAUAUCUGACAAGGAUCGAUGUGGUAUGGUUUUUGAUAAAGAUUAAUGAUGGAAGAGUAAUAAAAGGAUAAACUUGUUAAUGAUUCAAAAACCAUGCUUGGAUGCUGAACGCAAUUUUAGGUUUUUAGAUUGAGUGAUUUUCAGCUUUUAGCAGUUCUUGAUGAUAGUGUAGUUAUAAGCAUUGUUUUGUUUUUCUUAUUUAUUUCAUUGCAGUGUCUUAUAUUUUUUUGACAUAAGCUAUAAAUUUCAUCACAUCAAUCUGAGUAAAAUGCUUGGCUUCUUUGUGCAUUCCAUUGUUUUUGUGUUAAAUGCAAUGCUAUUUUUUCUUGCCUCUGUUGCUUUCCACAUAGAGUUUGUGUUUUCAAUGAUUCUAUUUAAUCUCGAAUAUUGAUUUCAUUUCAAAAUCGUUAUACUUCAGGUUGUGGUUAACAUGUAUUUGGUGCUGAUUCUGGACAUGCGUGUAAACCCUUUGAUUCUCCACAUUUGUUCGGAGUUCAUAUUUAGAUUAUGCUGAUAUAAUUAUUCAUUAAGGAAGCCAUUGAUUAAAUUCAUAACCAGCACAUGGUGGAUCCUGCAUUAUUUUGCCAUAGUAGUUACAGAGUCAUAUUUGGAAGCUUGUGGGGGUCUGUUCAUAAUCACGAAAUUUUUAUUUAUAAGUUAUUACCUUUCAUAUUUUCUACAUUGGAUUAGCUUUAUGAUUGACCGCAUGACAAUGCCUACAAGAAAGUUAUACUCAGAAUCUUUGAUCAUUUACAUUGUGGAAGUGCAUAUCUCCCUAAAAAUUUCGGAGCGUUAGUAUCUGUAGUGGGUGAUUCAGUUUGUUCUAUUUUGACUACAGAAUUUCUUUGAUGGGUAAGACGAUUCAGGUGUAUGGAUUCCCUUCCCAUGUGACUGUAGAUGAAGUCAAGAAGUUUCUGGAAUCACAUUCAGGGGAAGGAACUGUUUUUGCAAUGAAGAUCAGGGAAACCAAAAAUAGGGGUCGAAGAAAAUAUGCUAUUGUUCAAUUCCAGACUGCCAGAGAUGCUGAAUUAAUUAUAUCUUUGACUAAUAAACGUCUUCGGUACGGCACUUCAUAUCUCAAGGCUCGGCCUUUGGAUAAUGAUAUUGUACCAAAGCCCAGAACGUUUUUACACAGCAUGGACCAUAUAACACUGCAUUUUGGAUGUCAGAUAUCAAAAGAAAAGUUUUCUGUUCUAUGGACAGGGACAAAUGUUUCGGUGAAUUUUGGAUUUGGAAUGAGAAAAUUGCAAUUUUUUCUAUCUCAUGGACAAAUGGGCUACAAGCUUGAACUUUCUUAUGAGAAUGUUUGGCAGAUGGAGCUACAUUGUCCACGAGGUCGAUCUGUGAAAUAUCUUCUAAUUCAGGUUUCUUCAAUAUAUUUUAUUUAAUUUUUGGAUUAUUAAAUACCGUUUCUUGAUACUCUUACAGCAUUUUUCUCUGUUAUUUGAAAUUCUUUAUAGGGCUUUUUCGAACCUUGGAAAUGCCUUUUUUGCCCUGUUAUUUAUUGCACGGAUGAACUAUGUUUUCCUUUUACAUAAACAAAUUGUUGAGCUGCAUAGUGGGCAUAGUAAUUAAAGGCGCAAGGGGCACCUAUGCGCAAAGAGCUAUUGGAGCCUAGGUGCUAGCCUGAGUGAAGUGAGGCGCGAAAAUUAGAAAUAAAUAAAACACAUAAACAAAAAAAAAGGCAACAAGACAAGUUAUAUUGUAAGAUAUUGGAGUUAAGAUAGAAAAGUAAAAUCACGAAAUGAAAAAAAGAAAAAAAAGAAAGAAAGAAUAUAGAAAGCAAAUUGGAAGAGAAAUUGAGAGAGGCAUGUCUGAAUGGCUGUUAGCCAAAGGCUAGACUGGAGGGGGUGAGUGCUAGAUGGAGUGGAGGCUGGAUCUAAAGCAUAUCAUUGGUUUUUGUGAUAUAAUGACAAAGGAUUCAUAUGCCCAACCUCAACUAGUUUGGGGUUAAGGCCUUUAUUGUUGUUAUGUUGUUGUAGUAGAUACUGGGCUAGACAGUUUUAUAUUCAAAGGCGACUUGUUAAAACAAAAAUUAGAAAGACGGGCCUUUCUUGGGCCUAAGGCCGAAAAAGGCCCAAAAAGGCUAGUCGCCGGCCUGCGGACUGUUGAGUCAUAAUCCCUUGAAUUUGAAGUUGAACCUUAAGUAAGGCAUGAGGCACGCCUUUAAUGAGUAUGAUGGUGUGAAAAUGAAUUCUCUUAUUAGUAGUAAAUUGAACAAUUUACUUAUAUCUCGGUUACGACUAAAGCAUGAUACAUGCAUGUAUUUUUUUUUUCCUUGCCAUAUGUGGUGUUAUCAAGAAAAUUUGGAUAUUCCUAUUGGUUUGCUUGAACUUUCUGCUGGCUUUUCUAACAGACUGAAUACCUUUUUGAACUAAUAAGUUAAUUAUUUGUUUCUUUUGGUGUCCAAACAUGGGCUUAGAGUUUUCGCUCAUUCGUGGUUUUGAUUUCUUACAUAUGUGUGUCUGCAGUCUGAGUCUAAUUGUUUUAAUUGACAAUUUUUCUACUGGUCAGCCGUGCAUUAUAUAUUUCAGGCAAAAUAAUUAGCAUUCGGAAUAUAGAAAUUGUGCUGAUUAACUCAGAAAGCGUUAAAGCAGUGCUAUUGUUUGACAUGUAUUGAUGUCAAAUAUAUGAUCAGAGACUGGUUUUUAUGCAUGUGAGGGUAUAAAGCACUAGGCACUUGUUAAAAAUUUAAAAUCUUGUCCAAACUCUUGACUGAUGUUUGCUGGUUCUUUAAUCAUUCUGCAGAUAUUUUAACUCUUUUAGAUUUAAGUGAUAUGCUUUAUCUUUAGUUCUCAAUCUUUCAUGCUUCACUGGUCUUCUGCACAUGGUCUGUGCACGUGUCGUUACCCACCUCUGUUUAAAUAACUUACCGUUUAUCCAAAAACUAGCAAAAUAAGGUACUCUUGAUGGAUAGGGGCACAGAGAUUUUAAUAUGGUUUUAUCAAUAAAAUUGGCAAACUUUCUAUCUCAGGGAAUUUGAAAGAGUUGUCCCUUGGUUAAGUUUACUAAUAUGAGGAUCUUAUCAGGCAAGAUAGCUGAAUUCCUUUUUCCUGCUGGUAGAAAUGUGGCAUUUGUGAUUCACUGACUUGCCAAAAUAAAUGGGAAGUGGAAUCUAAGGCCAAGGGUUUACUUACUUGGGAAUUGAAAGGUGCUUACUGUUUUGCUGAAUAAAAAAAAGCUGUAUGUCAUGUAAAAAGUUUCCCUUUUCCUUAUUUUUCUUUCUGUUGGUAAUUUGUGCUUUUAUUGGGUUCAUUUAUGUCAUUAGUCUGAAUGUGAUGCAUACAAUAAUCAAACAAUUUGUGCUAUCUCUUUUUUCAUGUAAGAUUUCAAGUAAAAAUGCAAACUGCUAAUUUGGUUUCUGUUUUUUUAGUUAUAUGGUGCACCCCGAAUUUUUGAGAAAGAGAUUGCAACAUUUAAUGUGUUUGAGAUUCCGCUUUUCAACGACUUGAAGGAUACCCCUGAUGAGCAAUGGGUCAGGACAAUCGAUUUCACACCAUUCUGCCUUAUUGGGCAUUCAUCUGGAUUAUGUUUGGAGUUUCCUUCCAGCAUUAAUGUUCCAAAAUUUCAGGAGAACUUUUCUUACUAUAAAGAAAGUGAAGGAAUUUUUGUUUUGGAGAAUGGCAAUGCUUUUUCUCGCAAUCUGGAUCUAGUUCCGAUUGUUGGUCCUCCCUCAGGCGUUGAUUUGCCAUUUGAGAUAUUAUUUCGAGUUAAUUUGUUGGUUCAGAAUGGGUGCCUUCCAGGGUCAGCACUUGAUUCUAGUUUUUACGAGUUGGUUGAUCCAAGUACAAUGAAUAUUGACUGCAUAGAGCAUGCUCUUAAGAAGCUUUUUCACUUGAAAGAAUGUUGUUAUGACCCUUCUAGGUGGCUUGAUGAGCAGUACAGAAAGUAUCUUAAGUCUAAGUGCCAUCCAAGAUCACCUUCGAUAUCCCUAGGCUCUGGUUUGGUAUACAUGCGUAGGGUCCAAAUUACACCAUGCAAAGUCUAUUUUUGUGGUCCAGAGGUUAAUGUCUCAAACCGUGUGAUACGCCACUAUUCAAAAGAUAUUAAUAAUUUUCUCCGUGUGUCUUUUGUUGAUGAGGAGUUAGAGAAAAUUUAUUCAACAGAUUUAUGUCCCCGUGCUUCUUCUGGGAAUGGGGAUAGGAGGACUGCUAUUUACAAAAGGAUUCUCUCUACUCUCCAAAAUGGAAUAGUUAUUGGAAAUAAAAGGUUUGAGUUCCUUGCCUUUUCAUCUAGCCAGCUGAGGGAAAAUUCUUGCUGGAUGUUUGCUUCAAGAGACGGGCUCACUGCUGCAGAUAUAAGAGAAUGGAUGGGAAACUUUCGUCAGAUACGAAACGUGGCUAAAUAUGCAGCCAGAUUAGGUCAGUCUUUUGGUUCAUCCACUGAAACACUGAGUGUUAGUAGAAAUGAAAUUGAAAUUCUUCCAGAUGUAGAGGUUGAAAGGGGCAGAACCAAAUAUUUGUUCUCUGAUGGAAUAGGCAAAAUAUCUGCUGAGUUCGCUCGGAGAGUGGCGUUGAAAUGUGGGCACCAAGGUUUCUAUCCAUCUGCAUUUCAAAUUCGUUAUGGUGGGUAUAAAGGUGUUGUGGCUGUUGAUCCAACUUCUUCUAAAAAAUUAUCAUUGAGAGAAAGCAUGUGCAAGUAUGAGUCUGAAAAUACAAAACUGGAUGUUUUGGGUUAUAGCAAGUAUCAGCCUUGUUUUCUGAAUCGCCAAAUGAUUACUCUUCUUUCGACCCUUGGUGUUGCGGACCAUAUCUUUGAGAAGAAACAGAGAGAAGCUGUUGAUCAACUAGAUGCCAUUUUAACAAACUCGUUAAGGGCCCAAGAAGCACUAGAUUUGAUGUCUCCAGGAGAGACCACUAACAUUCUCAACGAAAUGCUUUUGUGUGGUUAUCAGCCUGAUGCUGAACCAUUCCUUUCAAUGAUGCUCCAAAUGUUCCGAGCAUCAAAGUUGCUUGAUCUGCGGACAAAAUCUAGAAUCUUUGUUCCAAAUGGAAGAUCUAUGAUGGGAUGUUUGGAUGAGACAAGAAACUUGGAAUAUGGCCAGGUAUUUGUGCAAUUUUCUGGUAGUAAACAUAAGCAGGUGUAUGAUAGUUCCACCAUGGUUGGAGGCAUUGGAUCAGGCAACGGUUUUGUGAUUGAGGGAAUGGUCAUUGUAGCUAAAAACCCAUGUCUGCACCCAGGUGAUAUUCGUGUUUUAAGGGCUGUGAAUGUACCAGAUUUGCACCAUAUGGUGGACUGUGUUGUUUUUCCACAGAAAGGACCAAGGUAUAUCUCUGUCUCUUCCAGCCUUAUAGCUUAGGUCAUUCUUUAGUUACGUCAAUUUGGUUUCUGGUUUGAGUUGUCUGUGCCGAAGUUCUAUAUUUAUAACUUAGAGUUCUUAGAUUUACUUUUCCAGUUGCAUUUGCAAAGGGUUCAGAUUUGAAAAAUAUAAAAAUCCCUGCUUUUUUCAUGCAAGACAGAGGAAUUUACCUUUUAUCAAAAGAGAACUUGGAAAUAUGCUCUCUUCUUGUCUACUUUCCAAUAUCAUUUCUCUAUUCUCCAAUGGGCUCUGAACCACAAAGUCCCAACUUUAAAGAUAGCUGGACUCAGUUAUAUAAGAAUGAGAGAGGGAUAGAAAGUUGUGUAUGUGCAGCUAUGUUCCUAUAGAUGUUUAAGUUCUUAUCUUCUGGGUGUCUUUCACAGCGGAUUGAACCUUAUAAUAUCAUUGUUGUUAUUGUAGUUAAUCAUUAUUGCUGUUAUUAUGAUGUUCGCUGUCCAUGUUAUCAUCAUCUAUAUGAUAGUUCUACUUCUGUUGUGUCUGCCUAUGUUUGGGCUAUUUUGGCCUACUUCUGUGGUAUUACUGUAGGAAACUAGUUGGGUUGUGAGAUAACUAGGUCUGUCACAUCAGCUAUAAUGAAUUCUUUUCUGUAAGAUAACCACUCCCUUCAAUGAAUGUAACUGGUAUCUGUGUUCCCUUUUAUUAUUUGACAUGUGCAGUAGGCUUCUUGUGGAUAACAGUCGAACGUACCAAUGGAAACUCCUGCUUCCUUAGAAAUACCUAGUCUAUAUUCUGUGGACAUUGCUUCAUCAUCUCUGAUUUAUUUGUCUGAUGAAGCUGACUGACAGAGGCAGGUUGUUAUUAUUGUUUCUAUUUUUUUUUUUUUGUGGGGGGGCGGGGGUGGGAAAGAGAGUUUGGUGGUUGGAGGUUGCAGGGGGAAGACUCCUGUGCUUUGGAAUUUCAAUUGACACUAACAUGGACACCUCACCUCUCUUUGUUUUUCAAGUGCUAACAGAGUAACAGACUAGUAUUAUAGUGCCCCUUUUCAGAUUUUUAUUUUUAUUUUUAUUUUUUAUGUGUGAAAACAGUAUUAACAUUAGUAUCUGAAUUGCAAUUUUAGACCUCAUCCAAAUGAAUGCUCGGGUAGUGAUUUAGAUGGAGAUAUCUACUUUGUCUGCUGGGAUCCUGAUUUAAUCCCACGUCAGCAACUCCCACCAAUGGACUAUACACCACAGCCAAGUUUGCAACUCGAUCAUGAUGUCACAAUUCAGGUACUACAUGUGUACAUAUGAAAUGUCGGAGCAAUUAUCUAUCAUCAACAAUAAUACUAUUGUUUCGCUAUCUUUUAAGAUUAUUCAGUCACUUCAUCAAUUUUUUUCUCUUCUAUGGUACAUUCUGGUAUUGUCAAACAUAAAGCUGCAAUGCUUCAAAAAUACAUACGUUCCUUAAUUUUUUUUUCUUUAUGACAGAGGAUUUAGUUUUGUACAUAGGUUCAAUACUAAUAGGUGUUUACUUUUAAUUUUUGUUUUUCCUUGUGGUGCCUUUAUUUCUGUAUUAUGAUGACUUUACUCCACCUGCAUCUUUUAUGUGUCAAAAGUCUUUUUUUUUUUCUGGAUUAGUUUGCUCUUAUGUGUCUAUAGCAUAUGCUAAUAGACAUGCAUAUGGAUUUUUCUUAUUAUAUAAAGCAAGAAUUUACACAAUUUACAAGAAAAAUAAGAAGCAGAUGGAAAGGGAAUUGCUGAUUAUCUUGUUUUCUGAAUCUCAGGGAAGCUGCAAAAGCAAACUUUGGCCCGGGCCUUUUUAAUUUAUGUGACAAUGAUAUCUUGUACUUUUUAAUUCUUUUAGCUAUCUCAUUUGUGCAAUUUUAAGCAAAAAUCUAACUGUUUUUUUUGGUCCCUCUGGGCACAAUGCUUCAUUUUUGUGUAAAAGUGGAUGCUUCAAACUACAACGCAAUGUAGUUCAGUCCAAGAGGGUCAUUAUUCUAUCAACCUCAUAACUAGUCCUUUUUUUGAAUGCUUAAAAAAAAAAUAAAAAAUAAAAGGAAAUGUGAUUCUGAAAAAUCCUUUAGAACAGUGAAAUCUUAGGUUGUGUACCUGUAUGCAUCAAGUUCUAACUGCAAACUCUGUUUUUUGCUUUAGCUUGAUUUUUUUUUUUUUAAUCAUGCAGCUAGAAAACCGCAUUUCCCUUUUAUUCAGAGAUUUUCAUUUUGCUUUCUACAGGAAGUUGCGGAGUAUUUCACCAAUUACAUCUUAAAUGACAGCUUGGGAAUCAUUUCUAAUGCUCACACCGUCUUUGCUGAUAGGGAACCUGAAAAAGCAAUGAGUAAACCAUGUCUGGAACUUGCAAGUAAAUUUUCAAUUGCAGUUGAUUUUCCAAAAACUGGAGUACCAGCUGAAAUUCAUUCUCAUCUACGUGUCAAAGAAUAUC
RNAcentral lists this long non-coding RNA (19815 nucleotides) under Jatropha curcas. RNAcentral's name for it is "long non-coding RNA (JCUR_LNC001234)". The record is from RNAcentral. Lineage: Eukaryota; Viridiplantae; Streptophyta; Magnoliopsida; Malpighiales; Euphorbiaceae.